Molecule: ribosomal RNA, 479 nt
Filed under: uncultured Glomus
Lineage: Eukaryota; Fungi; Glomeromycota; Glomeromycetes; Glomerales; Glomeraceae
Description: SSU rRNA
Rfam family: Eukaryotic small subunit ribosomal RNA
Source: RNAcentral
AGCAGCCGCGGUAAUUCCAGCUCCAAUAGCGUAUAUUAAAGUUGCUGCAGUUAAAAAGCUCGUAGUUGAAUUUCGGGACCAUCAUGUCGGUCGUGCCUAGGUACGUACUGGUAUUGUUGGUUUCUCCCUCCUGACGAACCAUGAUGUCAUUUAUUUGGUGUUGUGGGGAAUCAGGACUGUUACUUUGAAAAAUUGAGUGUUUAAAGCAGGCUCACGCUUGAAUACAUUAGCAUGGAAUAAUGAAAUAGGACGUUUGAUUCUAUUUGUUGGUUUCUAGGAUCGACGUAAUGAUUAAUAGGGAUAGUUGGGGCAUUAGUAUUCAAUUGUCAGAGGUGAAAUUCUUGGAUUUAUUGAAGACUAACUACUGCGAAAGCAUUUGCCAAGGAUGUUUCAUUAAUCAAGAACGAAAGUUAGGGAUCGAAGACGAUCAGAUACCGUCGUAGUCUUAACCAUAAACUAUGCCGAUUAGGAUCGGAUGA